Long non-coding RNA from Olea europaea var. sylvestris, 1012 nucleotides. RefSeq lists it as uncharacterized. NCBI's taxonomy places the organism in Eukaryota, Viridiplantae, Streptophyta, Magnoliopsida, Lamiales, Oleaceae. The transcript is spliced from 2 exons. The record is from RefSeq and is a predicted model, not a curated record.
UCUUUUUAACGAAAAGAGCUCUCUCAAUGAGCAGCAUUUAGCUAAAGUUGACUUGAUAAGAGAGCCUUUCUCUGUAACCAUUUUUUUCUCUGUAGAACCUUUAUUUGAUUCCGUUACUUUGGUUUUUAAGGUUUAAAUUUUGUCAAAGUCCUAUAGUCAGAUUUCUUCUCCCAGUUUGGUUGUAUACUACAACAGAGGAGUUUGUGUUAGCUUCUGAAGUCUUUUGGAUUUUGGUUAGUUUCCAAUUUCACUUCGAUUCUUAGUAAAACAUAGGUACAUCUUCCAGCAACUUCAACUUUUGUAUUAAAUUCACUAGAAAAAAUCACUCUACCUGGGAGUUCUAGUUUGAAUUAUUUGUUACUGAAGAGGAGUUGUGGGCUCAUAUAGAUGGAUCUACUCUUGCUCCUACUAACUCUACACAAUUGGCUCAACGGAGGGCAAGAGUGAUGUCUUGGAUUACAAGCUAUUAAACAUGAGCGUCGAUAGCAAAUACGAGAAGAACUUUGAGCUCUUUAGGAAAAUCAAACAUGGGAUCUUGUCUUAUGUCUAUCUACAGCUAAGCAUAUUGCUUUUAAAUUGGUUUACUCAGUUAAACUUCAUUCUGAAUGUAUAUUUUUACAAGACUGGUGGUUGCCCUAUGGAAUCGACAGUACUAUGGGGUGGACUAUGAGAAGACAUUUCCCCAUGGCAAAAAUGACUAUUGUACGUACCCUUAUUUCAAUUUCUACUUCAUAGGGUUGGCCAUUUCACUAGAUGGAUGUCAAAGAAAAAAUAAAAAAAUUCAUGGUGAUCUCAAGGAGGACAUUUAUAUAAUCCCACCUUCUGGAUUUUUUUCCCUUCUACGUCUGAUGUAUAUAGAUUGAAGUGAUCAUUGUAUGACUUGAAAGAGGCCCCCUGUGUAUUGUUUGAGAAGUUUUGAUCUACCUUGCUCUACUUUACCUCUGUACAGAGUCAAUAUGACUACUAUUUGUUUUUUUCGCAAAACUUCUAAAGGUGUUGUCCUUUUUUGGUA